UAGAACUUACAGCUCUUUUAGAAUUUACCUAGCAAGCCUUCUGGUUCUACCACUGAGAGACCACC
Small nuclear RNA from Otolemur garnettii (small-eared galago), 65 nucleotides. Its record names the gene U7. It matches the Rfam family "U7 small nuclear RNA". From Rfam's summary of the family: Animal histone pre-mRNAs are spliced by a different mechanism than nuclear pre-mRNAs and self-splicing introns. This processing involves the U7 snRNP, which contains only one RNA species: U7. The record is from Ensembl. NCBI's taxonomy places the organism in Eukaryota, Metazoa, Chordata, Mammalia, Primates, Galagidae.